GACGAACGCUGGCGGCGUGCCUAAUACAUGCAAGUCGAACGAGCUCUCCCAAAAUUGAUUUUAUGCUUGCAUAAAUGAUUUUUUGGAUUCGGAGCGAGUGGCGAACUGGUGAGUAACACGUGGGUAACCUGCCCUUAAGUGGGGGAUAACAUUUGGAACCAAAUGCUAAUACCGCAUAUGAAUUAAAACCGCAUGGUUUUAAUUUGAAAGAUGGCUCUGCUAUCACUUUUGGAUGGACCCGCGCCGUAUUAGCUAGUUGGUGAGAUAAAAGCUCACCAAGGCGGUGAUACGUAGCCGACCUGAGAGGGUAAUCGGCCACAUUGGGACUGAGACACGGCCCAGACUCCUACGGGAGGCAGCAGUAGGGAAUCUUCCACAAUGGACGAAAGUCUGAUGGAGCAACGCCGCGUGAGUGAUGAAGGGUUUCGGCUCGUAAAACUCUGUUGUUAAAGAAGAACAAGUGUAAGAGUAACUGUUUACGCUUUGACGGUAUUUAACCAGAAAGCCACGGCUAACUACGUGCCAGCCGCCGCAGUAA
RNAcentral lists this ribosomal RNA (538 nucleotides) under uncultured bacterium. RNAcentral describes it as "partial 16S ribosomal RNA". It matches the Rfam family "Bacterial small subunit ribosomal RNA", at positions 28 to 523 of the family's 1533-position model. The record is from RNAcentral.